GUGUUCACUUUGGCAGCACAUAUACUAAAAUUGGAAUGAUACAGAGAAAAUUAGCAUGGCCCCUGUGCAAGGAUGACACACAAAAUUGUGAAGCAUUCAAUAUUUUA
This 107-nucleotide small nuclear RNA is filed under the name Dasypus novemcinctus (nine-banded armadillo). Lineage: Eukaryota; Metazoa; Chordata; Mammalia; Cingulata; Dasypodidae. The record is from RNAcentral.